GCUUGGAUGGCUCAGUUGGUUAGAGCGCAGGUCUCAUACUUGCUGUAUGACCGCCCUUGCGGUGGGUAAUCCUGAGGUCAUGAGUUCGAUCCUCAUUCCGAGCA
Non-coding RNA from Trametes gibbosa, 104 nucleotides. The record is from the annotation of a GenBank genome assembly. NCBI's taxonomy places the organism in Eukaryota, Fungi, Basidiomycota, Agaricomycetes, Polyporales, Polyporaceae.